This is a long non-coding RNA of Diprion similis, 809 nucleotides long. RefSeq lists it as uncharacterized. The record is from RefSeq and is a predicted model, not a curated record. The transcript has 3 exons. Lineage: Eukaryota; Metazoa; Arthropoda; Insecta; Hymenoptera; Diprionidae.
AACUUACGUUGCCUGUAAUAAAAAUAGUGAAAGAAUCCAUAGGCAGUUAUCGAAGGAAAAACAAGUUUGUCGCAAGCAUAGCAUGAGUGUUGAAAUACAAGAAUUUAAGACAGGCUAAAGAGUGUAGAGAUGAAAAUUCCGAACAUUGAUAUUUCGUGUAAGAAGAGGAAAAAAUGGUUAAGGAAAGUGAAUAUUGUCUUAUUACAAUAAUUGAAAUGCUUUAGAUUAGGAUAAAAAUCACAUUUUAUUACAAAAAAUAGUAUAGUUUAUAGAGAGUCAGGUGGGGUGAUAACAGAUACUUACGAAAAGACAGUCAGUCGUAAUAGGAUAAGAAAAAAAGACACGAUCGUUAACAGUUCAGGCCUUAAAGGAUAUCCUACGAAAUUUUCAUGUUAAAACAUACAUCGAAAGUAGGUACGUACACACGUAUAAUUAAGGGAGAGUAUAAAAGUAGGGCAUAACAGUAAAAGUACAAGAACUAUAAGAAUAACAGUAUCAAGAGUAAAUUGUACGAGUUAUAGCAAUAGUAAAGCAUGCAGACGUAGUAAGGGUACGUUUAGUAUACGAUAAUCACAGCAUUGGGUUUUUCGUAGUAUCUUUUUUAUCUACACGCAUGUUAUUUUUUUUUUUUUCUUCAUUCUAUUAAGAAUUGUAUAGAACUUAGUGAAAGAAAAGAUCAGUCGAAAAUGCGGAGAAAAAAUAACGACUCAAAGUUCAGGCGAAGUAAAGAGUAGAGAUAAUAAAAAGAGUUGCAGAAUCUGAGAAAGAAAAAGGACGUGGCAAAUAACAGAAGGAAGAGCACGCGUCUG